UGGGGAAUAUUGGACAAUGGGCGCAAGCCUGAUCCAGCCAUGCCGCGUGAGUGAUGAAGGCCCUAGGGUUGUAAAGCUCUUUCACCGGUGAAGAUAAUGACGGUAACCGGAGAAGAAGCCCCGGCCAACUUCGUGCCAGCAGCCGCGGUAAUACGAAGGGGGCUAGCGUUGUUCGGAUUUACUGGGCGUAAAGCGCACGUAGGCGGACUUUUAAGUCAGGGGUGAAAUCCCGUGGCUCAACCCCGGAACUGCCUUUGAUACUGGAAGUCUUGAGUAUGGUAGAGGUGAGUGGAAUUCCGGGUGUAGAGGUGAAAUUCGUAGAUAUUAGGAGGAACACCAGUGGCGAAGGCGGCUCACUGGACCAUUACUGACGCUGAGGUGCGAAAGCGUGGGGAGCAAACAGG
RNAcentral lists this ribosomal RNA (404 nucleotides) under Actinomycetes bacterium. RNAcentral describes it as "Actinobacteria bacterium partial 16S ribosomal RNA". It matches the Rfam family "Bacterial small subunit ribosomal RNA", at positions 355 to 776 of the family's 1533-position model. The record is from RNAcentral. Lineage: Bacteria; Bacillati; Actinomycetota; Actinomycetes.